Molecule: long non-coding RNA, 1462 nt
Organism: Triticum dicoccoides
Lineage: Eukaryota; Viridiplantae; Streptophyta; Magnoliopsida; Poales; Poaceae
Exons: 3
Source: RefSeq, a predicted model, not a curated record
UGCGGCCUCCAGCACCACCUCCACAUCCACCGUCGGCUGCCCAUAAGCGCUGCGCCGCCGGCCACCCUGCCAACCCAGCGCGAGCCCUUCCCCUUCCCUAUUCCUCCGCCUGGACCCCGACGAUCGACGGAUCUGAGCCCCCUGCCCUCCCGCGCCUUCUCCAUGGCCUCCUCCCCCGCCAGUGGCCGAACUCGUCAAGCUCGACCUCGCUGGAACCCCCGCGGCGAACCACGACCCCGACGGGACCCCACCCACUUCUAGUGGCUCAGACCACCAUGCCUCCACCACGAAACGGCCGCCGGCGACGGCCAAGACCCGGGAUCCAGGGCCACCCGAUGAGGCGCGCGGCCUCACCUGCCCACUACCAUCCUUGUCCGUUCUUUUUCUGCAGGAGCACCACCUCAGCCCCCGCGCAGUGCGGGCGGUGAGCACGUGCAGUCCGGUGGGCGCGUGCGUGCAACGCGCUGAGUGCGGGCGCUGGAUCAGCACCACCCCCGUGCAGUGCGGGCGGUGAGCACGUGCAGUCCGGUGGGCGUGUGUGUGUGCAGCGCGCUGAGUGCGGGCGCCGGAUCAGCACCGCCCCGUGCAGUGAGGACGGUGAGCACGUCCAGUCCGGUGGGCGCGUGCGUGCAGCGCACUGAGUGCGGGCGCCGGGUCAGCGGCUCCCCCCGUGCAGGAUCCCACGGACAGCGCCGGAUCUCGCGACAUUGAGCUUCUCUGCUCGGACAUGGCGGCCUCCCGUCCACCCAGGCUAUGGAGGCGAGCUAGAUCCGGUGAGAUCCUUUCCUCUAUGGUCCCCAACCGUCCAACCUCGCACCCCGGCGGCCUCCUGCAAGCACGGCCAGGUCCAUAGUGGUUGCAGAUGCAUUGGAGCGAGAGGGCUUCUAGAACCUAGCCUGCAUCACCUGAAGUCUUAAGACACUGAAACCAGCCUUGUUGCUGCUUGUAAUGGCGUUCACUGACCAGGUUGAGCAGAUCUUCGAGUUGGCCGACAUCAAAUUGUGUUUAGGGUCGCCGCACUUCUAGUUACUCUUGAGUUCAUACGUUUCACUAUCAGGGUAUGGAACUCUUCAUGAUUUCAUACUAAAAUUCUUCUAUGGACAAACAAAAUUGGUGCUACUGAUUUAAGCUUAAUGGCACGAACAACAGUUCCUGUUAUGUAGUAUGUGGGCCAGUUAUAAAAUUUGGAUGAACACUAAUUUGAUUUUUGUGUUCUGUUUGAUUCAUUUAGCUGCAGGUUGAGUGUGUCAGUAGGUGUGCUUGAUGAGAUCUCUUUAGACUGAAAAACGAUGUUAGGCUCCAUGUGUAAUAUUUAUGGACUUUCAAAUCUUUUGACUGUUUGUGUUUUUUUGCUGGAGUAAUUUCUUUUUCUCCCAUACUACUUUUCUAUUUUCAGUUUUUAGGGAUUGUUUUGUAAAAAGAUUGGGACCCUAUUUGACUGUACUGCGCAGAGCAUUCCUCA